GGGGUUGUAGCUCAGUUGGUAGAGCAUUUGCCUUGCAUGUAUGAGGCACUGGGUUUGAUCCUCAGCACCACA
RNAcentral lists this transfer RNA (72 nucleotides) under Marmota monax (woodchuck). Its description in RNAcentral is "tRNA.Ala". It matches the Rfam family "tRNA". Rfam says of the family: Transfer RNA (tRNA) molecules are approximately 80 nucleotides in length. Their secondary structure includes four short double-helical elements and three loops (D, anti-codon, and T loops). Lineage: Eukaryota; Metazoa; Chordata; Mammalia; Rodentia; Sciuridae. The record is from RNAcentral.